This 957-nucleotide ribosomal RNA is filed under the name uncultured archaeon. RNAcentral's name for it is "bacterial SSU rRNA". It matches the Rfam family "Archaeal small subunit ribosomal RNA", at positions 41 to 1003 of the family's 1478-position model. The record is from RNAcentral.
UGAUUAAGCCAUGCGAGUCGAGAGGGUUCGGCCCUCGGCGCACCGCUCAGUAACACGUGGAUAACCUACCCUGGAGUGGGGGAUAAUCUCGGAAACCUGAGGAUAAUACCCCAUAGGCCUUUGAUACUGGAAUGUUCUUAGGCCCCAAAGUUACGGCGCUCCAGGAUGGGUCUGCGGCCUAUCAGGUAGUAGUGAGUGUAAAGGACUCACUAGCCGACAACGGGUACGGGCCAUGGGAGUGGUAGCCCGGAGAUGGAUUCUGAGACACGAAUCCAGGCCCUACGGGGCGCAGCAGGCGCGAAAACUUCGCAAUGCGCGAAAGCGCGACGAGGGGAUUCCAAGUGCAUGCACUUAGUGCAUGCUGUUUGCUAGUCUAAAUAGCUAGUAGAGUAAGGGCUGGGUAAGACUGGUGCCAGCCGCCGCGGUAAUACCAGCGGCCCUAGUGGUGAUCGUUAUUAUUGGGCCUAAAGCGUCCGUAGCCGGCCCGGUAAAUCUCUGGGUAAAUCGUUGGGCUUAACUCAGCGAAUUCUAGGGAGACUGCCGGGCUUGGGACCGGGAGAGGUCGGAGGUACUCCGAGGGUAGGGGUGAAAUCCUGUAAUCCUUGGGGGACCACCGGUGGCGAAGGCGUCCGACCAGAGCGGGUCCGACGGUAAGGGACGAAGCCCUGGGGCGCGAACCGGAUUAGAUACCCGGGUAGUCCAGGGUGUAAACGCUGUGCGCUUGGUGUUGGGGGUCCUUUGAGGGCAUCCAGUGCCGGAGAGAAGUUGUUAAGCGCACCGCCUGGGGAGUACGGUCGCAAGACUGAAACUUAAAGGAAUUGGCGGGGGAGCACCGCAACGGGAGGAGCGUGCGGUUUAWUUGGAUUCAACGCCGUAAAACUCACCAGGGGCGACUGCCAUAUGAAGGCCAAGCUGAUGACUUUGCCUGAUUGGUAGAGAGGUGGUGCAUGGCCAAUG